RNAcentral lists this ribosomal RNA (107 nucleotides) under Riccia pullulans. RNAcentral's name for it is "partial 26S large subunit ribosomal RNA". It matches the Rfam family "Eukaryotic large subunit ribosomal RNA", at positions 1 to 106 of the family's 3401-position model. Lineage: Eukaryota; Viridiplantae; Streptophyta; Marchantiopsida; Marchantiales; Ricciaceae. The record is from RNAcentral.
CCGACCUCAGAUCAGGCGAGACCACCCGCUGAGUUUAAGCAUAUCACUAAGCGGAGGAAAAGAAACUAACAAGGAUUCCCUUAGUAGCGGCGAGCGAACCGGGAAGA